Molecule: transfer RNA, 78 nt
Filed under: Brevundimonas sp. EAKA
Lineage: Bacteria; Pseudomonadati; Pseudomonadota; Alphaproteobacteria; Caulobacterales; Caulobacteraceae
Description: tRNA-OTHER
Source: RNAcentral
UCAUAUGUGUUGAUUUAGCACUGGAUUUAGGUUCCAGCGCCGCAAGGCGUGGAGGUUCGAGUCCUCUCAUCCGCACCA